RNAcentral lists this ribosomal RNA (503 nucleotides) under Paenibacillaceae bacterium CL1.66. RNAcentral's name for it is "bacterial SSU rRNA". It matches the Rfam family "Bacterial small subunit ribosomal RNA", at positions 17 to 497 of the family's 1533-position model. The record is from RNAcentral. Lineage: Bacteria; Bacillati; Bacillota; Bacilli; Caryophanales; Paenibacillaceae.
CCCUGGCUCAGGACGAACGCUGGCGGCGUGCCUAAUACAUGCAAGUCGAGCGGAGUUAUUUUGAAAGCUUGCUUUCAAAAUAACUUAGCGGCGGACGGGUGAGUAACACGUAGGCAACCUGCCCUUCAGACUGGGAUAACUACCGGAAACGGUAGCUAAUACCGGAUAAUUUCUUUUUUCUCCUGAGAGAAGAAUGAAAGACGGAGCAAUCUGUCACUGAGGGAUGGGCCUGCGGCGCAUUAGCUAGUUGGUGGGGUAACGGCCCACCAAGGCGACGAUGCGUAGCCGACCUGAGAGGGUGAACGGCCACACUGGGACUGAGACACGGCCCAGACUCCUACGGGAGGCAGCAGUAGGGAAUCUUCCGCAAUGGGCGAAAGCCUGACGGAGCAACGCCGCGUGAGUGAUGAAGGUUUUCGGAUCGUAAAGCUCUGUUGCCAGGGAAGAACGUCCGGUAGAGUAACUGCUACCGGAGUGACGGUACCUGAGAAGAAAGCCCCGGC